UUUAAAGAUGAGACCAUCAUGAAAUUAUCUGAUCUCAAAAGCUAAGCAGAGUUGGGCCUGGUUAAUACUUGGAUGGGAGACCAUCAUGAAAUCAAGCAAACUGUAACA
RNAcentral lists this ribosomal RNA (108 nucleotides) under Sus scrofa (pig). The record is from RNAcentral. Lineage: Eukaryota; Metazoa; Chordata; Mammalia; Artiodactyla; Suidae.